ACGGCGAGUGAAGCGGCAACAGCUCAAAUUUGAAAUCUGGCUUCUUUGGAGUCCGAGUUGUAAUUUGUAGAGGAUGUUUCGGGUACCGCAACGGCUUAAAUUUCUUGGAACAGAAUGUCAUGGAGGGUGAGAAUCCCGUCUGGAGUCGCGGUAGGGCCCAUGUGAAACUCCUUCGACGAGUCGAGUUGUUUGGGAAUGCAGCUCAAAAUGGGUGGUAAAUUUCAUCUAAAGCUAAAUAUUGGCCAGAGACCGAUAGCGCACAAGUAGAGUGAUCGAAAGAUGAAAAGCACUUUGAAAAGAGAGUUAAACAGUAUGUGAAAUUGUUGAAAGGGAAGCGCUGGCAAUCAGACUUGUGUGCGGAGGUUCCCCCUUGCUUCUGCUUGGGUUACUCCUCCGUAUCCAGGCCAACAUCGGUUUGGGUGGUUGGUUAAAGACCUUGGGAAUGUAUCUUUCCCCGGAAAGACUUAUAGCCCAGGGUGUCAUGCAGCCUACCCGGACCGAGGAACGCGCUUCGGCUCGGAUGUUGGCGUAAUGGUUGUCAGCGACCCGUCUUGAAACACGGACCAAGGAGUCUAACAUCUAUGCGAGUGUUAGGGUGUCAAACCCUUGCGCGGAAUGAAAGUGAACGGAGGUAAGAAGCCUUAAGGCUGCAUUAUCGACCGAUCCUGAAGUUUACGGAUGGAUUUGAGUAAGAGCAUAGCUGUUGGGACCCGAAAGAUGGUGAACUAUGCCUGAAUAGGGUGAAGCCAGAGGAAACUCUGGUGGAGGCUCGCAGCGGUUCUGACGUGCAAAUCGAUCGUCAAAUUUGGGUAUAGGGGCGAAAGACUAAUCG
RNAcentral lists this ribosomal RNA (832 nucleotides) under Paracladophialophora carceris. Its description in RNAcentral is "eukaryotic LSU rRNA". It matches the Rfam family "Eukaryotic large subunit ribosomal RNA", at positions 86 to 937 of the family's 3401-position model. Lineage: Eukaryota; Fungi; Ascomycota; Eurotiomycetes. The record is from RNAcentral.